AACGCACAUUGCGCCCUUUGGUAUUCCUUAGGGCAUGCCUGUUCGAGCGUCAUCUAACCCUUCAAGCACUGCUUGGUGUUGGGCGUUUGUCCCGCCUUGGGCGCGGACUCGCCUCAAAGACAUUGGCGGCCUGUGUAUUGGCUUCGAGCGCAGCAGACUCGCGCGUCGACUCCUCUAGCACUAGGCGUCCAGCAAGCCUAUUAUCUCAAGUUUGACCUCGGAUCAGGUAGGGAUACCCGCUGAACUUAA
Molecule: unclassified non-coding RNA, 249 nt
Filed under: uncultured fungus
Lineage: Eukaryota; Fungi
Description: partial contains 5.8S ribosomal RNA, internal transcribed spacer 2, and large subunit ribosomal RNA
Source: RNAcentral